This 562-nucleotide ribosomal RNA is filed under the name Plectroglyphidodon randalli (Mauritian damsel). RNAcentral describes it as "partial 16S ribosomal RNA". It matches the Rfam family "Bacterial large subunit ribosomal RNA", at positions 1846 to 2607 of the family's 2925-position model. Lineage: Eukaryota; Metazoa; Chordata; Actinopteri; Pomacentridae. The record is from RNAcentral.
UAGAGGUCCGCCUGCCUGUGACCAUGUGUUUAACGGCCGCGGUAUUUUGACCGUGCAAAGGUAGCGCAAUCACUUGUCUUUUAAAUGGAGACCUGUAUGAAUGGCACGACGAGGGCUUAACUGUCUCCUUUUUCCAGUCAAUGAAAUUGAUCUUCCCGUGCAGAAGCGGGAAUAACCCCAUAAGACGAGAAGACCCUGUGGAGCUUUAGACACCAAAGCAGACCAUGUCAAAGACCCCCUAUUAAGGGCUUGAACCAGUUGGGCUCCUGCCAAAAUGUCUUUGGUUGGGGCGACCUCGGGGAAAUAAAAAACCCCCGCGCGGAAUAGGAGUACUCCACUCCCAAAACCAAGAGUCACCACUCUAAUUAACAGAAUUUCUGACCACCAUGAUCCGGCAAUGCCGAUCAACGGACCGAGUUACCCCAGGGAUAACAGCGCAAUCCUCUUUUAGAGCCCAUAUCGACAAGGGGGUUUACGACCUCGAUGUUGGAUCAGGACAUCCUAAUGGUGCAGCCGCUAUUAAGGGUUCGUUUGUUCAACGAUUAAAGUCCUACGUGAUCUG